UGCCUUCCGAGUUCCCUGGAACGGGACGCCAUAAAGGGGGAAAGCCCCGUCUGGCCGGACACCAAGUCAGUGUAAAGCUCCUUCGACGAGUCGAGUAGUUUGGGAAUGCUGUUCUAAAUGGGAGGUAUAUGUCUUCUAAAGCUAAAUACCGGCCAGAGACCGAUAGCUGACAAGUAGAGUGAUCGGAAGAUGAAAAGCACUUUGAAAAGAGGGUUAAACAGUACGUGAAAUUGUUGAAAGGAAAGCACUUAUGACCAGACUUGGGCCCGGUGAAUCAUCCAGCGUUCUCGCUG
Molecule: ribosomal RNA, 293 nt
Filed under: soil fungal sp. DM2-301
Lineage: Eukaryota; Fungi
Description: partial 28S rRNA
Rfam family: Eukaryotic large subunit ribosomal RNA
Source: RNAcentral